ACGGAGGGUGCAAGCGUUACUCGGAAUCACUGGGCGUAAAGAGCGUGUAGGCGGGUUUGUAAGUUUGAAGUGAAAUCCAAUGGCUCAACCAUUGAACUGCUUUGAAAACUGCUUACCUAGAAUAUGGGAGAGGUAGAUGGAAUUUCUGGUGUAGGGGUAAAAUCCGUAGAGAUCAGAAGGAAUACCGAUUGCGAAGGCGAUCUACUGGAACAUUAUUGACGCUGAGACGCGAAAGCGUGGGGAGCAAACAG
This 251-nucleotide ribosomal RNA is filed under the name uncultured prokaryote. Its description in RNAcentral is "partial 16S ribosomal RNA". It matches the Rfam family "Bacterial small subunit ribosomal RNA", at positions 525 to 775 of the family's 1533-position model. The record is from RNAcentral.